This 468-nucleotide ribosomal RNA is filed under the name uncultured bacterium. Its description in RNAcentral is "partial 16S ribosomal RNA". It matches the Rfam family "Bacterial small subunit ribosomal RNA", at positions 28 to 507 of the family's 1533-position model. The record is from RNAcentral.
GACGAACGCUGGCGGCGUGCCUAACACAUGCAAGUCGAACGGAAAGGCCCGGCUCUUGUGGGGUGCUCGUGUGGCGAAAGCGUGUGUAUCACGCGUGUAACCUGUCCUUGUCUUUGGGAUAACUCCUGGAAACUCGGGCUAAUAUCCGAUAUGAGCUCUUGCUGCAUGGUGUGGGUUGGUAAGUUGCGGAGGUUCGGGAUGGACGCGCGGCUUAUCAGCGUGUUGGUGGGGUAGUGGCUUACCAAGGCUUCGACGGGUAGCCGGCCUGAGAGGGUGACCGGCCACAAUGGGACUGAGGUAGGGCCCAGAGGCAAACGGGGGGCAGCGGUGGGAAAUAUUGCACACUGGGCGGAAGCCUGAUACAACAACGCCGCGUGCGGAAUGACGGCCUUCGGGUUGUAAACCGCUUUCGCCUGUAACGCAGCGUGAGUGACGGUAAUGGGUAAAGAAGCACCGGCUAACUACGUG